Cercocebus atys (sooty mangabey) is the source of this 119-nucleotide ribosomal RNA. Lineage: Eukaryota; Metazoa; Chordata; Mammalia; Primates; Cercopithecidae. The record is from Ensembl.
GUCUAUGGCCAUUCCACCCUGAACGUACGAGUUCUCAUCUGAUCUUGGAAGCUAAUCAGGGUUGGGCCUGGUUAGUAUUUGAAUGGGAGACUGUCUGGGAAUACCAGCUGCUGUAGGCU